This is a long non-coding RNA of Pan troglodytes (chimpanzee), 1303 nucleotides long. RefSeq lists it as uncharacterized. The transcript is spliced from 3 exons. NCBI's taxonomy places the organism in Eukaryota, Metazoa, Chordata, Mammalia, Primates, Hominidae. The record is from RefSeq and is a predicted model, not a curated record.
GUGAUACCCAGGCCUCCAAGACCUGUACUCAAACCUAAAGCUGAGCCACAGGUGCUCCCCUAGCACAGAUGCUCACCACAGGAGUAUGGGGAACUUACCAGAAGGUUCAUCCAUGAUAAAAGAGAAACCUGAAGGAAAUUCAUUUGCUUCAACAUACAACACAAAAAGUACCCACAGCUUGACAAUAGGACAGAAAAAAAAAAAAUUGUCUGGUUCUUUCUUGGACGAGAGGAUUGUACACACCAGGGUUUUUAGAAGUGAAAAUUGACUUUCUCCAGCUGCAGAGUUUCAUUCAACAUUAGAGGGGGCCAGGAGUUGGUAAAGUCUAACAGAAGGUGGACCAAAACUGAAAAGAAAAACCAGAAAAAGUGAUCACAGAAUUCACAUAUAAUUGCGAUCUCUCAGCAUAAGGGUAAGUUAUAGCCAACUGACAAUAAACCUUGACUUUCAGCUACCAAAUCCCAAUAUGAAACCAGCUCCUUACCUGGAGAUGGACCCAAGCUGAAGACUGCUGUCUGCCAUCAUGGAAGCAGAAACUACCAGAAAAGGAGUUUUACAGCAGAAUAAACCUCAGAUCCCAAUUGAAAAUUUGGGGGAGAUCAGGGAUCUCUGGAGGGAGAAGUUCCCAGAACUUACAUAGCAAAUCAUCCAAUCUGUAAGAGUAAUAAAGAGUUCCAGCUGGUACCAGGGCCCCAAUAGGAGACUUGCUGGAGGCCAACAGCCAGACUCCACUCGGAGUUCCUUUGUGGUCACCAACAUGUAAACCAAAAAGUGACUGAGGCAGAUCUCUAUUGAUUAGAGGUUUAUUUUGCCAGUCGAGGAUAUGCCUGGGAAAUAGAAACAUAAGUCACCGUAGUAUCCUUGACCUGUGUUUUUCCAAAGAGGGUUUUGGAAACUUAACUAUUUAAGGGGUAAGAGCAAGCAGGAGGGAAAGGGGAAAAAAGGAGGGACAGUAGGCAAUGAGACAAGUGGUUACAUUCUUAUAAGGCUUUGAUUAACACUCAAUGAAUCCACAUUUUGUGUGUGAAAAGAAGAGAGUAGAGGAAAAAAUCAAUUAUGCAUUCAUCUCAUCCUCAGUAAAUCUACAUUUUACAUAAGAUAGAGUAAGCAUGUGAGAUUAGAGUUACCUGUUUGGGAACAGAAGGAAGGCAGUGUUUUGUGUGACUCCGUUUCCAACCUUAAUUUUCCCCUUGGCAUAAUAACUUUGUGGUUUUGAGAUUUUAUUUUUCUUUCCAGAUUGAGAUUCCCAUGACCCCCCAUUUGAGUUCAAUUAAUAAUUAAUUUGCUAGAACAUCUCAUAGAA